CGGUGGAGCGUGUGGUUUAAUUCGAAGCAACGCGCAGAACCUUACCAGCCUUUGACAUGGCAGGACGAUUUUCAGAGAUGGAUCUCUUCCAGCAAUGGACCUGCACACAGGUGCUGCAUGGCUGUCGUCAGCUCGUGUCGUGAGAUGUUGGGUUAAGUCCCGCAACGAGCGCAACCUCGCCUUUAGUUGCCAUCAUUCAGUUGGGCACUCUAAAGGGACUGCCGGUGAUAAGCCGCGAGGAAGUGGGGAUGACGUCAAGUCCUCAUGGCCCUUACGGGCUGGGCUACACACGUGCUACAAUGGCGGUGACAGUGGGAUGCAAAGGGGCGACCCCUCGCAAAUCUCAAAAAGCCGUCUCAGUUCGGAUUGUACUCUGCAACUCGAGUGCAUGAAGUUGGAAUCGCUAGUAAUCGUGGAUCAGCAUGCCACGGUGAAUACGUUCCCGGGCCUU
This 451-nucleotide ribosomal RNA is filed under the name uncultured Xanthobacter sp. RNAcentral describes it as "bacterial SSU rRNA". It matches the Rfam family "Bacterial small subunit ribosomal RNA", at positions 930 to 1382 of the family's 1533-position model. Lineage: Bacteria; Pseudomonadati; Pseudomonadota; Alphaproteobacteria; Hyphomicrobiales; Xanthobacteraceae. The record is from RNAcentral.